UUGCGGUUAAAAAGCUCGUAGUUGGAUUUCUGUCUGGGAUGGUCGGUCCGCACUUUGUGCGUGCAUCUGAUGCGUCCUCGGCAUCCUUCUGAAGGACAUUGUACUUUACUGUAUGAUGGAUUUCAGAACUUUUACUUUGAGGAAAUUAGAGUGUUCACAGCAAGCAAGCGCUUUGAAUACAUUAGCAUGGAAUAAUAAUAUAGGACUUCAGUACUAUUUUGUUGGUUUCUAGAGCUGAGGUAAUGAUUAAUAGGGACAGUUGGGGGCAUUCGUAUUAACGCGUCAGAGGUGGAAUUCUUGGAUUGCGUUACGACGAACUACUGCGAAAGCAUUUGCCAAGGAUGUUUUCAUUGAUCAAGAACGAAAGUAUGGGGAUCGAAGACGAUUAGAUACCGUCGUAGUCUAUACCAUAAACUAUGCCGACUAGAGAUUGGAGGUCGUUUUUUUAUGACUCCUUCAGCACCUUAUGAGAAAUCAAAGUCUUUGGGUUCCGGGGGGAGUAUGGUCGCAAGGCUGAAACUUAAAGGAAUUGACCGAAGGGC
This 542-nucleotide ribosomal RNA is filed under the name uncultured marine eukaryote. RNAcentral describes it as "SSU rRNA". It matches the Rfam family "Eukaryotic small subunit ribosomal RNA", at positions 613 to 1165 of the family's 1831-position model. The record is from RNAcentral.